RNAcentral lists this transfer RNA (74 nucleotides) under Hordeum vulgare. RNAcentral describes it as "tRNA-Val". It matches the Rfam family "tRNA". Rfam says of the family: Transfer RNA (tRNA) molecules are approximately 80 nucleotides in length. Their secondary structure includes four short double-helical elements and three loops (D, anti-codon, and T loops). The record is from RNAcentral. Lineage: Eukaryota; Viridiplantae; Streptophyta; Magnoliopsida; Poales; Poaceae.
GUCUUGGUGGUGUAGUUGGUUAUCACGUUAGUCUCACACACUAAAGGUCCCCAGUUCGAACCUGGGCUUAGACA